Small nuclear RNA from Camelus dromedarius (Arabian camel), 107 nucleotides. The record is from Ensembl. NCBI's taxonomy places the organism in Eukaryota, Metazoa, Chordata, Mammalia, Artiodactyla, Camelidae.
GGGCUCACUUCGGCAGCACAUACACUAAUAUUGGAACAAUACAGAAAAGAUUAGCAUGGCCCCUGAGCACGGAUGACACGCAAAUUCGUGAAGUAUUCCAUAUUUUU